CAAAACACACAACGGCAACAACAACAGUCAACACGAUAGACAUAGCAAAAAAACAGAACCAAGAGAGACACAAUUUCUUCUCAGUGUCUUCAAGAACACCAAAUUGUCAUCAAUAAGAAGCAUCUAGUUUCUUCACAUGCAAACCAAACAAAAUAAACAUUAUCAUCAUUACCUGGCCGGGAGUGUAAGCUUGAGCAAGAGCAGCAGUGGAAGGAUCAGGUUUCCCCAUGCGAAUUCUCAUGUAAGGAUCGCAUGACAAGUAGAGAUUCUUCACUAGAACAGAGUUAGUACCUUCCGGAACCCUAAGUUCGACGGUGGUGGUAGUGAAAUCGAAAUCGGAUUCCGUAGGGAAACCACUCACGUAGUCUUUCAAUAUGACUUGCUUGUUCGUCGCCGUCAUCGUUGAUUCUCGUGACUUCACCAAAUUUGUUACUGCUUCUUCUUCGGUUUCUCUCGAUGACGCCGCUGCUUUUAUAGAGUCAUCUCCAGUGUGCCACGAAUUCAUGAUAUCAACUUAUCAAGUAUGACGUCACUGCUUAUGUGUUCUGAUUUUUCACAUUUUGGAUUCUUUCUCUUUCGAGCGUUUUUUUCUCUCUUUGACUUUCACAUUCCUUUUGCAUACCUUUUUUUUUCCUCUUACGUAUCUCUCCUUUCACAUUUUGCUUUUCGUCUUUUUACACUAGAGAACUAAUUCUAAACUCGUAUUAAAUUUCUCACUAAUGAUAGUAAUUGGAAAAACUAGAGGUUUUUGACACCCUCAAUACAUUGUUAAGGUAAAUGCAACUUUUUGCGGAGUCUUUUUGGAAAUAAGAUAGAAAACAGAGUUCGAAGGCUAAAACAGAGCAAUCUGGUGCUUAAGUUCUUCUUGUAUGGAACCAGACGCGGAGUACGUCUUCGAGUUUCGUCGAGCUAUUUGGUAUUAAACGUAACAUUGUGGUUAAUCCAGCUUCAAUAGCUCUACUUUGAGUUACCAAAAUUUAAACACGUUGUGGUCAAUAUCCUCGUUUGUUGGUCACCUAAUUGACAAAUUUGGGUAGGUUUACUAAUUUCCAAAUGGCUAAAAUGUGAUUGGUCCAGUCCACUUUGCCAAUUGAUGAAAGAAAAAUUGAAAUAGGUGGUAACGGUGAAAAUAACUUUAUAACAUAUCACACCAAACCCACAAAACAGUAUCCCCAUCUUCCGAAUUAGUGUUCGCAACACUAACUGUUAAAACAGAGCACAAAACAGAGCCAUGUCCUAUAAUAAAGAAGAAAAGGAGUUGCACAAAUUGUAUUCAUUGAUGCUUAAACACGCAUACUUGGGAACAAGAGCUAGAAACAUGGGUUUGUAUUAGGCUUCUUUUUUGGAUUUGUGAGAGAGGUUUUGGCUUGUUUGUUACUACUUACAUACAUUUUGUGAACCAAGUCACAUAAAAUGAUAAAACCAAUAACAAACAAAUUAAUCUUACUGUAUAUACUAUAAUUACUAUUAUUCAUAAACCAAAAACUCACGGUUGGGUUCAACAGCCAUACAAACUCUUGUUGGAUAAAUAUAACAUUUCUCCCAAAUAAGUAUUAUUCCCUCACGAGCAAUAAAACCUUACUCCCAAUUAAAGUAUUCAUCAUUCACGAGCAAUAACAACAACUUGUUUCCCAACAUUCUUACCAUGGAAGAGUCCCACGAGAGCUUCAGGACCUUUCUCGAGCCCAUCAGCUACAUCUUCCACGUACGUUAUCUUCCCUUCUUUAAUGUGCGGAUGCAGAAACUCCAAGAACUUUGAGUAUUCGUCGUAGAAAUCAGACACUACAAAGCCUUGAAUGCGGAUUCGUUUGUAGAUUAUGUUGGAUAGGUUGUGUACACCUUCUUGGUUCUCAAGAUUGUACUGUGAGAUCAUUCCACAGACAGCGAUACGCCCGUGCAUGUUCAUGUUCAUAAGCACUGCAUCUAGCAUUUUGCCUCCUACAUUCUCAAAGUAUAUGUCAAUGCCAUUAGGGAAACACCUGGAAAAAAACGGAGAAUAUCUCUUAGAUUGGUCAAAACGCAAUUGAGAAGAUCAAUCAAAAAGUAUUGCCGCUUUAUUAUGCAAACGGAUUCUAACAUUUAUAGGCAUAAAACACUUAGAAAUAAGUAGUUUACUGAACCUUUUGAGCGCAGCACUAAGGUCAGGUUCUUCCUUGUAGUUAAAUGCAUAAUCAAACCCAAACUUGGUCUUCAGGAGAUCAACCUAACAGAUACCCCAAAAAUGGUUAAUCAUACUCUUGAAGGAGAACCAAGAAAUAUAAGGAAUCAAAAUAUAGAAAAUAAUGAUCAAAUUCUCACCUUUUCUUUGCUACCAGCACUUCCAACAACAUAACAGCCCAUCAUCUUAGCAAAUUGUCCCACAAGCUGACCAACAGCACCAGAUGCAGCUGACACAUAAACUGUCUCUCCUUUCUUUGGAGAACAGAUCUCAUAAAACCCAACAUAUGCGGUCAUACCAGGCAUACCUUUCAGUAACAGAGAACACCCAUCAAAGAGUGAAUAUAUGAAACAGAUCAACAAACCAAACAGUUGAAACUCUAGUCUUCUAGACUAAAGUUACAACCAAUUCCAUUGAUAUGUUUCUAAGAUUUGUUAGACAUCAAAACAUUGUAUCAUCAAGAAGCAGAUUUCCAAAAUUUUACAGAGUGAUUCCACCUUACAAAACUAUGAAAAAGGCUGAGAUUAACAUACCGAGAAGUCCAGUGUAGUAAGACAAUGGAACAUCAGUAUGUUGGAUCUUGAAAUGCUCGUGAGUCAAGUGAUAACACUGUACUCCUCCCAUGCAACUAUACCCCAGAGUAGGUCUCCUUUUUUGUAAUCUGAAUGCCCAGAUUCUAUCACUGUAGACACUCCGUACCCUUCUAUUGGCUGCACCAAAAACACAAUGGAAACAAGAAGACUCAACGCGAUAGAGAUAGCGAAAAGAAAAACCCGAAGAGACACAAUUUCUUCUCAGAGUCUUCAAGAACACCAAAUUGUCAUGUAGUUUCUACAUCAAUAAGAAGCAUCUAGUUUCUUCACAUGCAAACCAAACAAAAUAAACAUUAUCAUCAUUACUUGGCCGGGAGUGUAAGCUUGAGCAAGAGCAGCAGUGGAAGGAUUAGGUUUCCCCAUGCAAAUUCUC
Molecule: long non-coding RNA, 3124 nt
Filed under: Arabidopsis thaliana (thale cress)
Lineage: Eukaryota; Viridiplantae; Streptophyta; Magnoliopsida; Brassicales; Brassicaceae
Description: long non-coding RNA (ATHA_LNC000380)
Source: RNAcentral